ACAUUCUCUCAAGCACAGGGGAGCAUAGAAUAGCAGAGGCCACUGGACUAAUUUCUCACUUUUAAAUCCAGGAAAGGAGCUCUGGAGGCUGGGCAGUCCAAGACGAUGAUGCCUACAGAUUUGGAGGAUUGGAGUCCUGCUUUGUAGACGGCAGUCUUUUCACUGUGUUCUCACUUGGCAGAAAGAGCAAGGGGGUUUCCUGGGGUCUCUUUUGUAAGGUCACUAAUCCCAUUCGUGAGGGCUCUACCUUCAUGACCUGAUCACCUCCCAAAGGCCCCACCUCCUAAAAGCAACACAUUGAGGAAUAGGUGUCAACAGAUGAAUAGGGGGGUGGGGGGCAACAGAAACAUUCAGUCUAUAGAAUCGUGCUUUUGAAUUAGAUUGCAAGUUCCUUUGUAUUACCGUAAUUAUUCUCAUGGGAUAAACAAAGGUUGAAAAAACAUGCAAAGUGUACUGCUUUGCUAGGGCUGCCGUAACAAGAUACCACGGUGGCUUUGAAACAGGAGCAAAGGGGUCAGAACACAACCUUUAAAACAAUGACAUAGCCCUUGAGGAUACAGCAAAAACUGGUUAGAACCAACUAGGUCCAAGAUGGCAGAAGGUUCAACUUCCAGUAGACUAUGAGCCUCACUAUACGCUCACUCUAGUAUUAUACCUUAGCUAAAUGACACACCCACAGGUGCCAUGACAGUUCUGAGGCUGACCAUAAAAGGCCAAAAAGUGGGCGGUGGCCCAAUUCCUGGAAAUCUCCGCCCCUUCCCCGAAAUAGUUGGAAUAAUCCCCCCACUCAUAAGCCUGUGAA
Non-coding RNA from Kogia breviceps (pygmy sperm whale), 802 nucleotides. The record is from RefSeq and is a predicted model, not a curated record. NCBI's taxonomy places the organism in Eukaryota, Metazoa, Chordata, Mammalia, Artiodactyla, Physeteridae.